CAAGCCUGCAGAGGGGGACGGAUUUCUCUCUCCACACCCAGUGGCUCUCAGUCCCGGGUGAGGUCUUCCCUCUCCAGAGAUUAUGAGCCCAGGACUUCAUUACCACUCGAUGUGCCCAACAACAAAUGCUAAAGGGAAUAUUCUGGUUGAAAUGAAAAGAUGAGAGACUAUAGGUCAUACGAAGCUAUAAAUAUAUCCAAUAAAGAGAAAUAUAAAACA
This is a long non-coding RNA of Suricata suricatta (meerkat), 219 nucleotides long. RefSeq lists it as uncharacterized. Lineage: Eukaryota; Metazoa; Chordata; Mammalia; Carnivora; Herpestidae. The record is from RefSeq and is a predicted model, not a curated record. The transcript is spliced from 2 exons.